This 403-nucleotide ribosomal RNA is filed under the name Verrucomicrobiota bacterium. Its description in RNAcentral is "Verrucomicrobia bacterium partial 16S ribosomal RNA". It matches the Rfam family "Bacterial small subunit ribosomal RNA", at positions 355 to 776 of the family's 1533-position model. Lineage: Bacteria; Pseudomonadati; Verrucomicrobiota. The record is from RNAcentral.
UGGGGAAUAUUGGACAAUGGGCGCAAGCCUGAUCCAGCCAUGCCGCGUGAGUGAUGAAGGCCCUAGGGUUGUAAAGCUCUUUCACCGGUGAAGAUAAUGACGGUAACCGGAGAAGAAGCCCCGGCUAACUUCGUGCCAGCAGCCGCGGUAAUACGAAGGGGCUAGCGUUGUUCGGAUUUACUGGGCGUAAAGCGCACGUAGGCGGACUUUUAAGUCAGGGGUGAAAUCCCGGGGCUCAACCCCGGAACUGCCUUUGAUACUGGAAGUCUUGAGUAUGGUAGAGGUGGGUGGAAUUCCGGGUGUAGAGGUGAAAUUCGUAGAUAUUCGGAGGAACACCAGUGGAGAAGGCGGCUCACUGGACCAUUACUGACGCUGAGGUGCGAAAGCGUGGGGAGCAAACAGG